UCAGGAUGAACGCUGGCGGCGUGCCUAACACAUGCAAGUCGAACGAAGCGCCCGGAACAGAGGAUUCGUCCGAAGGAAGGGAUGACUGAGUGGCGGACGGGUGAGUAACGCGUGGAAACCUGCCCCAUGCAGGGGGACAACAGGGAGAAAUCCCUGCUAAUACCGCAUAAGCGCACGGCACGGCAUCGUGCAGUGUGAAAAGAUUUAUCGGCAUGGGAUGGUUCCGCGUCCGAUUAGCCAGCUGGCGGGGUAACGGCCCACCAGGGCAGCGAUCGGUAGCCGGCCUGAGAGGGCGGACGGCCACAUUGGGACUGAGACACGGCCCAGACUCCUACGGGAGGCAGCAGUGGGGGAUAUUGCACAAUGGGGGGAACCCUGAUGCAGCGACGCCGCGUGGGUGAAGAAGUAUUUCGGUAUGUAAAGCCCUAUCGGCAGGGAAGAUGAUGACGGUACCUGACUAAGAAGCCCCGGCUAACUACGUGCCAGCAGCCGC
Molecule: ribosomal RNA, 493 nt
Filed under: uncultured bacterium
Lineage: Bacteria
Description: bacterial SSU rRNA
Rfam family: Bacterial small subunit ribosomal RNA
Source: RNAcentral